AUGCCGUCCCCCCGCCUCUCACCGUGCCGAUCCGAGCCGUGCCGGGCCGUGAUGGCACCGCCGGGCGGCGGAACGCGGCGGCUCCGUGCGCCCUCCCCCGCGCCGGUGCGGCUCCGCGGGGCGCAGCGAGAGGCGGGGAUGCGGCUCCGCGGGGCGGGAUGGCACCGGGGGAUAGGCGGGACACAGCCGGGCUGGAAGGGGGACGAGACAGGGGAGAAAGCGGGAGUUCCAACGCCGUGCAAGGGGGGUGCGGAGGGGCUGCUUUGCCGAGGAAGGUGGCAGCUCUGGCUGAAUUCAGUCCAGGAUGGCUGUGGAGAACUCCGGCUCCUGCCUCACCAAGCCGAGAAGCACACUAGGUGAAAGGUUUCCAUGUUAUUUUCCACUGCUGUCUGAUGGAUCCCCAGAGUGUGUGCCCAGCUCAGCAGCCUCCUUCAAGAAACUGAAAACAUCAUGAAAUAUUUUUCCUUGAACUGCCUUGUAGUGGGCAGGCUGUCAUGCUUCAAACCACUAGCUGAAUGAUGCUUACAUAUUAAGUUGAAAAAGAAAACCCUAUCAGAGUCCUGGACCAUCAAAGGAAUUGUGCCUUGACAGUAAUUAAUUAAGUAAAACACUUACCUUCCAGAAUUAUAAAUAAAAAUUGAGUAUCAAAUAUUUGAUUCA
This 660-nucleotide long non-coding RNA is filed under the name Parus major (Great Tit). RNAcentral describes it as "lncRNA (ENSPMJG00000012776.1)". The record is from RNAcentral. Lineage: Eukaryota; Metazoa; Chordata; Aves; Passeriformes; Paridae.